UACGAGGGGUCCAAACGUUAUUCGGAAUCACUGGGCUUACAGAGUUCGUAGGCGGUCCAGAAAGUGGGGUGUGAAAGCCCUCGGCUUAACCGAGGAACUGCCGUCCAAACUGCUUCGCUUGAGACCGGGAGAGGUGAGUGGAAUUCCCAGUGUAGCGGUGAAAUGCGUAGAUAUUGGGAGGAACACCAGUGGCGAAGGCGGCUCACUGGACCGGUACUGACGCUGAAGCGCGAAAGCGUGGGGAGCAAACGGG
Molecule: ribosomal RNA, 253 nt
Filed under: uncultured prokaryote
Description: partial 16S ribosomal RNA
Rfam family: Bacterial small subunit ribosomal RNA
Source: RNAcentral